CAUAAGUGAAAAUGGGAAAAAAAUUAAGGGCCAAAGUGAAAAAAAUACACAUGCAUCAGGAGUGAUUUUAAGGGUGCGUUUGUUUGCAAGGAUUUGAUUAUCCGAAAACAUUUUCUUGAUUUUACGGUGUUUGGUUGCUUGAAAAUAAAUUACAUGAGUAAAAGAUUUCCAAAACAAGGUAAAUUAUAUGAGUUUUUUUAGGGAAAAUGUCUUACAGAUUUUUAAUAGGUAAGACAUUUUCCGGAAAAUCUUCCUCCCAUCCGUUCUUCAUCCGUUUUGUAAGAUUUUCCAAAAACCGAUUGGCUCAUCCAGGAGGACUUGUUUAAGUACUCUUUUAUUCACCCCUUCUUCAUCCGUACUGUAAGAUUGGCUAUCAAUAACGCUUAAAGCUACCUUCUUUCAAACAGCCUAUUAUUGCCAAAGCUAAUAUCUGCUCGUAAAAACAAAGCAGCACUUGAUCAGCCCCCUUUUUCCCUCGUCUGUAUCGUGUUCCCCAUUUAUAUAUACCAAAUUUUGACUGCAAUUCAUGAGGCCUCCAUUGCUAGUUCUUCUUCGAGGGGUUUAUACAGAUAAAGAAAAGGACAAUAAGAAAAAAAAAUGAAGUCCAUUGAUACAAUAGCUUCUCUUGUCGUAGUUAAUUUGAACUAUAUAUAUAUAUAUAUAUAUAUGUAAUUUGUAUAAUAUAUUGUUCCACUUUUGACCCAUUUUUUAUUGUAGGGUGGUAAUGGUUGAACCAGUUCUAGUUUUUGAUAUGUUUUAAACAAUUUAACAUUUUACUCUCCAAUCAUUGUGUUACUCUCCCAACUUUGGUUAAUUUCAAUUUAUGACGGUUAAUAUUUUAGCUUAAUAA
Molecule: long non-coding RNA, 850 nt
Organism: Gossypium arboreum
Lineage: Eukaryota; Viridiplantae; Streptophyta; Magnoliopsida; Malvales; Malvaceae
Exons: 3
Source: RefSeq, a predicted model, not a curated record